CCUGAGGUCCCUGGGAGGAACAUGAAUCUCUCCUCAUAAGUCUGCAUAUUUCCCGUCUCUGCUCCCUUAAGGUCUCUGACUUCCAGCCAGGGAGGACAGAUUGUCUAGAGGCUGUUGCAGGCUCAGCACCCACAGGUGGAACCAGUUUUUCAAGAGUGCCAACGCAUGCCGAACAAAUUCAAGACUUAUUUCCCAAAUGUUUCCAAUGGGACAAUGACGCUUGUUUGGCAUCCAGAAGACAUGCUCAUAACGGGACAUUUGAACUCCUUGUGUAGCUGUUUACUUCAUGGGCCCAUUUACCUUGUCUUCACUGGUGAUGUCUGCUGAUCUAAUGUCCCAUAUUUUAAAAUAUUUUUGGUAUAUCUGUAAGACAAAACAGAAGUGCUCAAAGCAGGGCACAGCACUCUAAGAAGUGGAUAGAUCAGAUAUGCUUCAGUAGAGCAAACAGCUUUUAUUACAGACUAAAUAGUUUAGGAUUAUUCCAGCCAAGAAACAAGCUGAAAUAGAUGAAUGGAUUGUCCCACUGGUGCUCCAUCAUGUCCAGUGACAUUCUAAAACUUCCCAGAAACCUGUGCUUUCCUGAGCUGUGCCAGGGACUGUGGAAAGGUUUGUGGAGGAACUUUCACCUUUGUAACUUAGCAAAGGAGUUAUGUGAAUGCUAGCACUCCCGUGCUCAGAUCUUAAACCAAUUUAGUGCGUUUAACUGCUGCUAAACUGGUUCCUGACACCAGCUCUAAGUGCCUGGAAUCACUUGUUGCAGAGAUGACAUCUUCCAUAUGUAAAUUUAUACAAUGUAUCUAUAUGGCUUAUUCCUAAUAAAAAAUUUUACAGGCAUUCAUUUGCAAGUGGUUACUAAUAUGAACAUGCAAGAUCCAGUGCAAAGUUCAAUUCAGAGUUUUCUUUAUUAAAAUACCUUUUCACAUUCCUUAUACUAAUGCAUUUUAUGGACGCUCCUGGGAUGCUGGAAAGAACAUUUGUCAACAGAAGAGUGCUAUGAAGUCAGUCAUUUGUGAAAGGCUUAUGAUACAAACAACAUUUGCAUAGGGAACAAUAAAUUAGAGAUAUUGGCCAGUAACUGGAGCUUGAAAAUUUAAACAUUUGGAAUGAGGAUAUAAAACCCUUUUGUAUUUCUUGCUGGUUUUGCACCUUUGAUGUAAUGCUUAAAGCAGUAACUAUAUAUGUAUAUACAAAUCCAUGUCCUCUCUUUCACUGUUUUCUAAUUAAAAUGAGAACCUUCUUACCUGUGGCCCAGAUCUUGUAGUAAUUUAAUCUGCAGUAAGAAAAGGAGAGUAAUUGCAGUGUCAAAGACCAGCUGGUUAAGGGGUUGGGGACAGUACUUUUUCUGUUUUGUUUUGUGUUCUUUUUUUAAACUAAUGCAACUGAGAUAAAUGCGGGCUGCAAAGAUUAGA
This 1409-nucleotide long non-coding RNA is filed under the name Aquila chrysaetos chrysaetos. RNAcentral describes it as "lncRNA (ENSACCG00020005639.1)". The record is from RNAcentral. Lineage: Eukaryota; Metazoa; Chordata; Aves; Accipitriformes; Accipitridae.